UUCGAUUUUAUAUAAUUCAAUUUAAAAUUUUGGGUUCUGUCCAUCAAUUUCCCCUUUGCUCUUCAUAUAAUGCAUGAGCAUUAAAAUCCUUUUAUCUUUGUUUUAAAAUUUCAUUUUGGAUCGCUCCGGUAGCACUUAGAAUGUUAGAAAUUUGCUGAAGAGUUCCUAUUAUAGAUAACCUCAUGGUUCACUUAUCCUGCCUAUAGGUAGACAUGGUGGUGACAAGGUGAUUUAUGCAGUUGGGUGAAAAGAUUCAAUAUAUUGAGUUAUCGAUAAGAGCCGAUACAAUGCAGAACAUGGAGGAAAGAAAACAUAGCAGCACCUUUAUGGUGCAUUUUCUGCCAUUAUUUGGUCCAAAAUAAAUGAAAAAUGCCCAAGUGUUAUUCUGCAAAAUUUUGUCUGUACCUGUAGCAUAACUGGGGAGGAAAUGUUGACACAAUUGAUGUUUUGAUCUCAAUUGCACAGUAGACCAAAACUACAGGUAUGUGGAGUACAUAAGUUUUUGUGAUAGUGGAUUGUUUCCAAUAGGAGUAUUAAGUUGAUCAAUACUAUACAAGAUUUACUCUUACUUUUGAAGGAUAACAAAACGUAACGAAAAUAAACCAUUACUUUGUAAUAUGUCUCUACUGGGGGUUAUAACUCAUUUUAGUAAUUGCUGUUUUAUUUUGCAAUUAUUUCUUCAAUUAGGAUAAUGAAAGAAAAUAAAUAUAUGUAACAUAAAAGAGGAAAUCUUCUGGCUGAUUUAGCUCAUCAGGCGAUGAACCUCUUGUGCAAGGGAUGGACAAGGAGAGGUUAUUCGCCAUUGCCAGUCUUUAACAUGUAAUGCUUAUGACAUUAAGCUUAUAGCUAUGACAGCGAGGAGGGGGGGCAAAGAUAGUAGAAUACAUCGAAAAAGAACACUUUCUCACAUAAAUUUUCAAAACCAUUAAUCAAAUAAUAAUGGUGAAAUUGUCUUUUUCUGGAUGUACUAUUUUGUAAAUUUCAUAUCAGGGGUUGUAGCAAUUAUUUGUUCAGCGUUUUCUGGACCUCCAUGUAUUCUUUUAGCUUUUCCAUCUUUUGGUUCCAAUAGAUUACCUCAUUGGAAAUACUUGCACGUAGGAGGACAAAAUGAUGGCUUAAACCACCAAUAUGAUGAGAUAUUACAGCGAUAAGGUAAUGGCUUAUAUUGGUCUUUAUCUAAUGGUGUACUUUAGAUCCUCUAUUUAUUUCUUCUUUGGAAUCUAAUUUCAGAAUUUACACUGCAUCAAGAUGCUGCAUAUCAUUUUAUUGCAUGUUGUUUAUAUCUUUGACAAAACACAAUCUUAUAGAGUCUCUGCAAAUUUUAUGAUUGGUUUUGUUUGUUAUUCUUAGUAUCAAUUGACACUAUAUGUCAAUAGAGGACCAUUUGAAUUUCUACUUGUAAUAUGUUGCUUUUAAUUUAAUUAGACUUACCUGCAUGAUGAUAUAUGCAACCUUGCAAAAGGAAUUUGUUCUAUGUCUUGUCAUUUUUAAUAGUGUAUAUGCUGAUUUUAAUCGUUGGUAGUAUUCCUGGAUAAGUUGGCUUUCUUGUUCCAGUCAACUUAUCAAUGAAUGCAGCUAACUUUGCUAAAGAAAUGUAUUAUUGCUAACCAGUGAAAUAUUUAUAAUAUUUUAAGUUGAAGAACUAGCUACUUUAGCUUUGAAAUAGUAGUAGGAUCACAUGAUCGAGGAUAUUCUGUAAAAUAAGUAGAGAAGGUUAAAAAUUUGAACAUAUUCAUGAGUUGGUUAAAGUGAUGUCAAUUGAAUGUAAAUUGCAAGGACAUGGAUUGGGAUUCAACAAUGUGGCCAGAUGCACAAGUUAGUAAAAUUGAUGAUACCAGUACAAUUAUGAAACCUAGAGGAAGAGUUUGAUGACAUCUAAUCACAUGGCAUGGGGUAAUAACUAAUGAGAAGGAUUUUGAAUCUUCGUGUUAUAGCUUUUGAGAUGUCCCUUGUUACUUGUUGUGGCUGAGAAGAAAAAGAGGAACCAUGUACUUGGCUUGAGAUAAGAAUGGGAUAUGGUUUCGUUGAGUUGUGUACCCCAUAAACCAGGUAUGAUGCUGGUAUCUUGCUCGAUCUUCAGAACCUAUUGGCUGCAGUUGUUUGCAGAUACCUGUUUGUGGAUAUCAGUUAUGGGUAUAACUAGCAGUGUGUCAGAAUGCAAAUGCACUGGAAAGGGAUUUAAGAUCAGGGGUAACAGAAAUGUACUCAAAGUUUCAGCGUUCUUUUAAUUAUUAUAGAAAGCCUUCCAUUAUAUAUCCAAUGCAUGUCUUCAUUUACCAUAGUAGCUAAUAAGUAUCAAGAAGAAACCUUCCUCCUGAAAUCUGCCAGAAAAGAGCAUUUUUCGGAGUUCCUCUAGCUUUUUUAACCUUCGUGCCACUACCUAGCAGAAAACUUCAUUGUUUUUAUGAGUUAGGGUGAAGGAGUCAGCACUCUUCUUCACAUACUUUGCAGACAUAAUAAGCUAAUUUUAGUAAUUUCAAGAAAUAAUUCAAGGGCAUAAUGACCAAAAUUUGUGAGAGUACCAUCCUUAGACAUCUUAUUGAAGUGCUGAAUUACUAUGUUGGGAUUUAAAGAAUUUUACAUGCAGAGUUCAAGAAAUGUAUCAUCUAUAGUUUAGCUACUUAAUUGAAAUGGUUUCCUAUCAGACAACAUGAAACCUGAGUUCUCUUAAUUCUAUAAUACAAUUAUUUGACAAUUUUGAUCACUGUAAAAAAUCUUUAAUAUCUUAUCUGUCUUGCAUACAAAUUCAAAGUUCUUCCUUUAUGAUGGACCAGGCCACCACUUACUCUCAGCUUCAAAAGUCCCUCUCCCUUUUGGUCCAGUAACCUACCAAAUUCGCUUAGUUACAAUGUUUGGCUGCAUAAAUUUAAAAAAAAAAAAAAAAAAAAAAAAUUUCCCUCAAAACCACUGUAGAUGGUAUGUUUUAUUAAUAUAAAAAUUUAGACACAGAACAAAAAAAAUAAACCAAAAACAAAAACUUACCGCAUCUGGAGAUGGAGGGUGUACAAUGAAAAUUAAAAAUUACAAUUCAUGCACCAUAGCAUUAUUCCUAGUCACCAUAUGUUUUGUGAAGUUUCUCUCCAUCUUCUAGCCCCUUCAGACUCACUACUUAAAUUGGACCUUCUUUGGACUAAUGAGUUUCAUCUUCAGAUGUAUUGGAUAAUAUAGGCGGGGCUAUGUAUUUGCAUAUAUUUUCUGUGGACUGGAUCAAAGACUGACAAGGAAUCUUUUAUGUAUUUGUAGUUUCUGUUAAUAUCUUUUAUCUUUCAGAAAAACAAAGGGUUGCAAUUGAUUGAGUGUUGAAUGACAAUAAAGCCCAAGAUUUGCAGUGAGACCCACCUUUCACAUGUUGACAUGCAAUUCAUUCUCGACUCGUUGCAGGUUUUAGUUCUUGGUCAGCCUGGAAAGGAGCUGAGUUUGCACUUUGCAGUUGAUGCUAAGAUUUGUUGCCAAUGUUCAUCUCAAAGUAAGUAUUGCUUGUAUUAAAUUAUUAAAUAUAACUUUGUAUGCCUUCAUAUCAGCAAUGCUAGAAAUGAAACAUUUGCAUUCUUUCCAUUUCAGUAAGGUAAAUUGUCAGCUGGAAGUGUCUUGGUUUAUACUUUAUACAUGCAUAGUGACAUCGAGCACACUAUUCUUGUACAUAUGAAUUUAUAUUCUAUAUUUAAGUUGUUUGCCAAGGCUUGGGUUGACCUUUAGCUCAACAGAGCGGGUCUAGAUCCCUACCAAGCACUACAGCAAAGUUGUUUCUUCUAUCCUUAUUGUGCUUUAUGUAGGCUUAGCCUGGUGAAGCAGAGAAUGGGCAAUGUGCAGUGGUAUAAUUUAACACGUUUAGUUAAAAAAUCGCUAAUUCAAAAGGCUUGACCUGUGUUUAAAUAGAUUGGGUCGAGCGAACCUGCAGUGUGAAUCCCUUUGUUUCUUAUAUCUCACCUUAAACUGUGUAUAUCUCCAACAGGUCCUAACAAUUGUCCCUUUAAUGCGCCGUAUAAAAAAUUGAUUCUGUCUGAUUGAGAGCUUAUUACCUGUUUGACAACCAUUAUUUGAGGAAAUAAAGUUUUGAAUAGUGAUUUUUAGGAGAAUGUGUAGUUAAAUGGUAGAAAAAAGUUUUGGAUUUAAGUACAAAAUAUUUUAUUGUGUGAAUGUGUAGUUGAAAAUGAAUGUGUAAAAAGGAGUUUGAAAAUAAAGGCUGUAAAACAGUGGCUAAAGUUCAUUGGCCUAAACAAAUGGCAUGCAUUAAAAAACUGUGAUAUGCUUGGGGGACGAACUCUUGAGAAUUAGAUAGUAUUCUCAUUUCUCAGUUUACAUAGAAAUCUAGUAGCACCGUCUCAAUUUUGUCUAAGCAGUUAUACUCUCAUGAAGCUGACAAUCUUCUAGAUAACAUGAUGCUCUGUAUUUAUUCCACUGUCAUCUUUAUUCGUGUAUGAUUAAAAGAAAGGAUUGCUUUCACUUGUGGUGUCUAUAGGUGCACUUUACAAAUUUAUUCGAAUAUUUUUUCUUGUGCUUUGAGUGUGACAAUUAUUUAUUUGUUGAACUUUUUAUCGUUUUGUAUAUGUUUCCUCAAUGUGACACCGAGGAAAGUCCUAUAUCCCGAUGCAUUGGCUUGCAGGAAGGGUACAAGGAUUGAUGAAAUGUUCGAGGAUAUAAGGGAAGUCUUGUCCAUUUGCCAAGAUACUUGGGGUAAUCGAAAUAUCUUUGAGGCCAUCAAUUGCAAAUAAUUUUACGAGGCAGCCAUAGUCAAUUUUAUCAUAUGGUUGCUCAUAUUCAAUUUGAUGCGGCAGGAUUUUGGAUGCCAUUUUGCAGUAACCUUGCCAGGCUACUCAUAACUCGAACUGGGCGGGACUUUGUUUUUGCUCCUUGGUCAACUUUUUUAAGUAUAUUUUUUCAAUCCCCAAAAUGGUUUGUUGUACCAACAAAAAAUAUUACGGAAUAAAUUACUCUUGUGGGCUUGACUCAAGAUCUUAUUAUAUCAUCAUUUUUUCAGUCUGAAGCAUUAAUCUAGGUUCUUGUCAUACAGAAUGGCAUUUUCG
Molecule: long non-coding RNA, 5024 nt
Filed under: Olea europaea subsp. europaea
Lineage: Eukaryota; Viridiplantae; Streptophyta; Magnoliopsida; Lamiales; Oleaceae
Source: RNAcentral